Molecule: ribosomal RNA, 488 nt
Filed under: uncultured bacterium
Lineage: Bacteria
Description: bacterial SSU rRNA
Rfam family: Archaeal small subunit ribosomal RNA
Source: RNAcentral
AGUGAAUAGAUACCCAGGUAGUCCUAGCCGUAAACGAUACUCGCUAGGUGUCGGCCACGGUGCGACCGUUGUCGGUGCCGUUGGGAAAGCCGUGAAGCGAGCCACCUGGGGAAGUACGGCCGCAAGGCUGAAACUUAAAGGAAUUGGCGGGGGAGCACCACAACGGGUGGAGCUUGCGGUUUAAAUUGGAUUCAACGCCGGAAAUCUUACCGGGACCGACAGCAACAUGAAGGCCAGGCUGAAGACUUUGCCGGAUUAGCUGAGAGGUGGUGCAUGGCCGUCGUCAGUUCGUACUGUGAAGCAUCCUGUUAAGUCAGGCAACGAGCGAGACCCACGCCCACAGUUGCCAGCGUACUCUCUGGAGUGACGGGUACACUGUGGGGACCGCCGCUGCUAAAGCGGAGGAAGGAAUGGGCAACGGUAGGUCAGUAUGCCCCGAAUAUCCCGGGCUACACGCGAGCUACAAUGGUUGGUACAAUGGGUAUCUA